This is a long non-coding RNA of Dicentrarchus labrax (European seabass), 573 nucleotides long. RefSeq lists it as uncharacterized. The record is from RefSeq and is a predicted model, not a curated record. The transcript has 2 exons. Lineage: Eukaryota; Metazoa; Chordata; Actinopteri; Moronidae.
GCGACUUUCAUCAACCACAAUCAGAGUGAGAGAGGACCAACCUGCCGCGUGUCCUCCAUCCCCGUCCUCCCCCGCUGAACCUCGUCCUCCAGCAGCUGCAGCUGAUCCAGGACCUGCAGAUGUCCCGCAGAUCGUUUACUUCAUCAGCUUCAGACAUUUUCUGCCUCCAGACGUUUUUAUCUUCUUCAGAGCGCCGCCGCAGAGCCUCAAGCUCCGCCUCCUGUCAACACAAUCAAAACAAACUGUUGAUGAGAAAACAAACAAACAACAACAAUAAGAUCAUCAAUAAUAAUAAAGUGGUGUUUACGGCUUCCUGCAGCAGCUUCCUGCUGUGAUCAGACUCCGCCUCCAGCUCCGCCUGUUUCCUGUCUGCCUCAUGGAGCCGCGACUGCAGCUGAGCACAAACAUCAUUGAUUAAUGAUGGAUCAGAUAAACCAAACCAAACCUCCUGGGUUCAGGUUAAGAUCAGAAUAUUUGUAUUAUAAUCUUAUAAGAUUAGUCAUAAUAUAUAAUAAUAAUAUUUGUAUAAUAAACUGAUAAUGAAACAAGAAGUUAAUAAACAAUUAAACAUUU